AUGCAAGUCGAACGGCAGCACGGGAGUAAUCCUGGUGGCGAGUGGCGAACGGGUGAGUAAAGCAUCGGAACGUGCCCAGUCGUGGGGGAUAACGUAGCGAAAGCUACGCUAAUACCGCAUACGAUCUGUGGAUGAAAGCGGGGGACCGUAAGGCCUCGCGCGAUUGGAGCGGCCGAUGUCAGAUUAGGUAGUUGGUGAGGUAAAGGCUCACCAAGCCGACGAUCUGUAGCUGGUCUGAGAGGACGACCAGCCACACUGGGACUGAGACACGGCCCAGACUCCUACGGGAGGCAGCAGUGGGGAAUUUUGGACAAUGGGCGCAAGCCUGAUCCAGCAAUGCCGCGUGCAGGAUGAAGGCCUUCGGGUUGUAAACUGCUUUUGUACGGAGCGUAAAGGCUUCCACUAAUACUGGGGGCUCAUGACGGUACCGUAAGAAUAAGCACCGGCUAACUACGUGCCAGCAGCCGCGGUAAUACGUAGGGUGCGAGCGUUAAUCGGAAUUACUGGGCGUAAAGCGUGCGCAGGCGGUCUUGUAAGACAGGUGUGAAAUCCCCGGGCUUAACCUGGGAACUGCACUUGUGACUGCAAGGCUGGAGUA
RNAcentral lists this ribosomal RNA (598 nucleotides) under uncultured beta proteobacterium. Its description in RNAcentral is "bacterial SSU rRNA". It matches the Rfam family "Bacterial small subunit ribosomal RNA", at positions 55 to 648 of the family's 1533-position model. The record is from RNAcentral. Lineage: Bacteria; Pseudomonadati; Pseudomonadota; Betaproteobacteria.